GACGAACGCUGGCGGCGUGCUUAACACAUGCAAGUCGAACGGAAAGGCCCUGCUUUUGUGGGGUGCUCGAGUGGCGAACGGGUGAGUAACACGUGAGUAACCUGCCCUUGACUUUGGGAUAACUUCAGGAAACUGGGGCUAAUACCGGAUAGGAGCUCCUGCUGCAUGGUGGGGGUUGGAAAGUUUCGGCGGUUGGGGAUGGACUCGCGGCUUAUCAGCUUGUUGGUGGGGUAGUGGCUUACCAAGGCUUUGACGGGUAGCCGGCCUGAGAGGGUGACCGGCAAAAUGGGGACGGGGAUACGGCCAAGACUCCAACGGGAGGCAGAAGUGGGGAAAAUUGCACAAUGGGGGGAAGCCGGAGGAAGAAACGCCGCGUGCGGGAUGACGGCCUUGGGGUGGUAAACCGCUUUCGCCUGUGACGAAGCGGGAGGGACGGUAAUGGGUAAAGAAGAACCGGAUAACUAGGU
Molecule: ribosomal RNA, 467 nt
Filed under: uncultured bacterium
Lineage: Bacteria
Description: partial 16S ribosomal RNA
Rfam family: Bacterial small subunit ribosomal RNA
Source: RNAcentral